GAUUAAUGUUGGCAGUGUGCCUAAUACAUGCAAGUCGAGCGAUAUAGCGGCGGACGAGAGAGUAAUAGAAAGGAACAUGCCCCGAACUCAAGGAUAGCCACCCGAAAGGGUGGGUAAUCCUGGAUAGUCCCGCAAGGGUAAAGCUUUAUGCGGUUCGGGAGUGGCCUUUCUCCUAUCAGCUUGUUGGUGAGGUAAUAGCUCACCAAGGCGAUGACGGGUAGCUGGUCUGAGAGGAUGACCAGCCUCGAUGGGACUGAGACACGGCCCAUACUCCUACGGGAGGCAGCAGUAGGGAAUUUUGCACAAUGGACGCAAGUCUGAUGCAGCAACACUGCGUGAAGGAUGAAGGUUUUCGGAUCGUAAACUUCUUUUAUCAGGGAAUAAUCAUGAAGGUACCUGAUGAAUAAGCACCGGCUAACUACGUGCCAGCAGCCGCGGUAAUACGUAGGGUGCAAACAUUAUCCGGAUUUAUUGGGCGUAAAGAGCUCGUAGGUGGUUUUGAAAGUCUGAUAUGAAAGACUCCGGCUCAACUGGAGGAACGUAUCGGAAACUUCAUUACUUGAGGUAUACAGGGGAAGAUGGAACUCAUAGUGUAGCAGUGAAAUGCGUAGAUAUUAUGAGGAACGCCAAUGGUGAAGACAGUCUUCUGGGUAUAUCCUGACACUGAGGAGCGAAAGCGUGGGGAGCAAACGGGAUUAGAUACCCCGGUAGUCCACGCCGUAAACGAUGCACACUAGGAAUGCGGAGAAUCGACCCUCUGCGUUUCGAAGCUAACGCGUUAAGUGUGCCGCCUGGGUAGUACGGCCGCAAGGCUAAAACUCAAAGGAAUUGACGGGGACCCGCACAAGCGGUGGAACAUGAGGUUUAAUUCGUCAACAAGCGAAGAACCUUACCAAGGCUUGACAUCUAUGGAAUCCCGCGGAAACGUGGGAGUGCCGCAAGGAGCCAUAAGACAGGUGCUGCACGGUCGUCGUCAGCUCGUGCUGUGAAGUGUCCCGUUAAGUCGGUAAACGAGCGCAACCCCUAUCGUAUGUUACUUUUUCAUACGAGACUGCCGGUGUUAAAUCGGAGGAAGGUGGGGAUGACGUCAGAUCAGCGUGGCCCUUACGCCUUGGGCUACACUCGUGUUACAAUGGGGUGAACAAAGGGUUGCAAAGCCGCGAGGUGGAGCUAAUCCCAUCAAAUCACCCCCCAGUUCGGAUUGGAGGCUGAAAUUCGCCUCCAUGAAGUCGGAAUCGCUAGUAAUCGUGGGUCAGCCAUACCACGGUGAAUACGUUCUCGGGUCUUGUACACACCGCCCGUCAAGUCAGGAAAGUCGGUAACGCCCGAAGCGCCCAACAGGGCACCACGGUGGGAUCGGUGAUCAGGACU
RNAcentral lists this ribosomal RNA (1371 nucleotides) under uncultured bacterium. RNAcentral describes it as "bacterial SSU rRNA". It matches the Rfam family "Bacterial small subunit ribosomal RNA". The record is from RNAcentral.